AUCAUUUACUCUCAAAUUAACUGCUUGUCAUAAAUAACGUUCCACCCCAACAAAAAUCUCACAUUGUCAUUGAUCCACCGCGACGGAGAAGGCAGGUAGAAGAGCAAUCGGAGAUUGAGGAAGAAACGGCGAUGUCGACCUCGCUCAAGUCCGCGGCUCUUCUAGAGCAGAUGAAGGUCCAUCUCGCCACCGACGCUGGAAAGCAGAUCUCCAGCAAGAUAAGCCUCGUCUACCAGCUCAACAUCGCCCCAAAGAAGAUUGGAGUGGAUGAGGAGAUCUACGUUGUCGAUCUCAAGCAAGGAACGGUCACCGAAGGCCCGUAUGAUGGGAAGCCAGAUGCUACCUUUUCCUUUACGGAUAACGAUUUCCUGUCAAUUGCGACAGGGAAGAUGAACCCGCAGAUUGCAUUCAUCAGAGGAGCGAUGAAGAUUAAGGGAAGUAUAAGUGCAGCUCAAAAGUUCACACCUGAUAUCUUCCCCAAACCAUCAAAACUUUAAACCGAAAGCCUGGUGAUGCUCCCUUUAGUGCAAACUAGUGUGAGGAUGACUUUCAGGAUAUGCCGGAAGGCCAACAGAUGGAGUAGACGAGGAGGCGGGAUGGACGCAUGGUACUGUCCGUUGUUCAGGAGUGCGGAGCCUAUUGGAUUCACUGCAAGAGUUAUUUUCAUUUCAUUGUCAUUCGGGUGGGGAAUGUUUGAGGAGUUUAUGUUCAUACCGAUAAACAUAUGUUGAUACGGGCAUGUUCAUGGGAUUAUGAUAAUUUCUUUGUUGGUACUGCAUUACGAUCAUUCAAAUAGUAGUUGAUGAGAGAGAUUAGUAAAAAAAAAAAAAACUGGGGUUGUUUCAGUUGGUAUCAGAGCACACUCCUAAGGGACAACAUGCGCAAGCCAUCUCGUCAAGGACUCAACUACUCCUGCCUUCGAGUUUGUGAGGAUGACUUUCAGGAUAUGCCGGAAGGCCAACAGAUGGAGUAGACGAGGAGGCGGGAUGGACGCAUGGUACUGUCCGUUGUUCAGGAGUGCGGAGCCUAUUGGAUUCACUGCAAGAGUUAUUUUCAUUUCAUUGUCAUUCGGGUGGGGAAUGUUUGAGGAGUUUAUGUUCAUACCGAUAAACAUAUGUUGAUACGGGCAUGUUCAUGGGAUUAUGAUAAUUUCUUUGUUGGCACUGCAUUA
This is an RNA transcript of Zingiber officinale, 1171 nucleotides long. It is a transcript of the gene named sterol carrier protein 2-like, with no coding region annotated. The record is from RefSeq and is a predicted model, not a curated record. The transcript is spliced from 6 exons. NCBI's taxonomy places the organism in Eukaryota, Viridiplantae, Streptophyta, Magnoliopsida, Zingiberales, Zingiberaceae.